Lagopus leucura (white-tailed ptarmigan) is the source of this 490-nucleotide long non-coding RNA. RefSeq lists it as uncharacterized. The record is from RefSeq and is a predicted model, not a curated record. Lineage: Eukaryota; Metazoa; Chordata; Aves; Galliformes; Phasianidae. The transcript has 3 exons.
UCUACUUUGCUGGAGUUUCAUAAGUGAGCCUAGGAUACAGGCUUACCCUUUACAGUGAGGGCAACUGGAGCAGAGCUCUGUGCAAGGCCACUGAUGUUGUAAAGGAUACUGCUCAGCAGGCCAAGCGCCAUCUGGAUAAUUGUUUAGAGGUGAUUGGUAUCCAGUUGUGUGGAGCUAAAUACACAUUGUAUUCCUUUGAGAGAAAACAUGAUCUGCAUCAUCUUGUGCAGUGUGUGCUGAACUGGGUGCCCCCAGGGCUGCAGAGCCAAUCAAAGCAAGGAGAACUUGGUUGCGGCAGGAGCUGAGCUGUGGGAGAGGAGAUUGAUGCAGGCAUCUCCAGCCCUGAUUCCUCAGUAAACUGUGAAUGAAGAAAUAAUUCAAGAAAAAGCAAACCAGCUGAGAGUGAAGCAAUAUUUGGUUAAAAAUCCAGCUGUGGAGGCACGAGUACCUCAGUGAGCAUCACCUACUGAGACCGCAUGACCUUGUGGAA